This 62-nucleotide ribosomal RNA is filed under the name uncultured organism. Its description in RNAcentral is "partial 16S ribosomal RNA". The record is from RNAcentral.
UGGGUUCGACAUCCUCUGACAACUGAAGAAAUUUAGCUUUUUCCGUAAGGAAACAGAGAGAU